RNAcentral lists this ribosomal RNA (330 nucleotides) under uncultured eukaryote. RNAcentral describes it as "partial 18S ribosomal RNA". It matches the Rfam family "Eukaryotic small subunit ribosomal RNA", at positions 1470 to 1796 of the family's 1831-position model. The record is from RNAcentral.
CCCUUAGAUGUUCUGGGCCGCACGCGCGCUACACUGACGAAGUCAGCGAGCAUGUCCUUCGCCGAAAGGUGCGGGGAAUCUUGUGAAACUUUGUCGUGCUGGGGAUUGAUUUUUGAAAUUCUUGAUCAUCAACGAGGAAUUCCUAGUAAGCGCAAGUCAGCAGCUUGCGUUGAUUACGUCCCUGCCCUUUGUACACACCGCCCGUCGCUACUACCGAUUGAAUGGUUUAGUGAGAAUUUUGGACUGGAACUCCCUUGCUCAGCAAUGGGCGAGGGGGAGUCCGGGAAGCUAUUCUAACUGUAUCAUUUAGAGGAAGUAAAAGUCGUAACA